UUCUGCCAGGCUGAUCCACAUGUAUUUUACAAACUGCCCAGCCUCUUUCAGGUGCAUAUGUCUUUUUGAAUAUGAUGAACCCUUGGCUGGAAAUUUCCUUUUGCAUUAACAUUCUCCCUCCUCUCCAUCCUCUUGUAAAACCAACAUUUGUUAGGGUCUCUGAGAAGACUUUGGAGAACCCCACUCCAUGUUUAUAAAAUAGGAUAACCUAGUCACUCAGUCCCUUUUGGGGGCUCUACUGUACCCUGGAUAUAUUUUUUUUGGAAACACAGAUACUAUGUUGAUUGCACAUUUUUGUAUUUUUGGCCUGAAUGUGAUGUUCAGAGACUAAAGACUUAGUCUGUCUUGUGUCUUGCCAUUGUUUGAACCAAUUCUUGACCCAGGUUGAAUAUAUGAGAAUCCUUAGAAUUCUUUUUUUAAUAGCAAUGCCCAGGUUUUAUCCAAGAUGGAUUACUUCAGGAUCUUUGUGCUCAGGACAUAGAUAUGAGUUAUUUGAAAUCCUCUCCUAGGUGACCCAGCUGUGUAGCAGAUUUGAGAACCGCUGGCCUAAGCCACAGUCAGGGAGCCUGCUCAUGGAUCCAGCUGUGAAAUUCUUCUCUGACACAAUGUUGCCACUCUUUUUUUUUCUCAUCCGGUGACAAGCCAAGUGCAUCAUUUUGGAGACAUAUCUCCAGCCCUCUUUGACGUUCUGCCCAUUUCUAACGGAAGACCAAGCGCUGUGCAGUCUAUUUCCAGAGCUGCCAUGAAUAUUUAUACGUCGCCUGCAUCUUUACAAAUUAGAGAGCAUCAAGAUGAAUGAGAGUAGUGAAUCAGAGAAGACACACAGUGUGAUGCGGGCAGAAAUUUACUAUCUCAUUUCUAUUUAAAACCUGAUGACUCAGAGGAGGCAGUUCGCAUCCAUUUCAGUAAAUUCCUUAAUGCUCUCCAGCAUGGCACUUUGAAUUUUAGCACUACUGGGGGUGACUUGAUUUAUUCCCAGGGAGAAAGUCUGCUUGGUAUUUGUGUCUUUGUGUGUAUGAGUAUGUAUUUAAGUUAGAUUAUUUGAACAUACAAUAGAAAGAAAAGUAAAUUACUAGACUAAUUGUUAAUUAUUUUUGUUAAGCCUCAUUUUCUAUGUUGUCUUGGUGAUGGGAUAUACUUCCAGCCCCUAAUGAAUAAUUCUUACAUCUGACAAAAUGCUAUUUGUUUCUAAAUUGAUUUUUAAUGUCUUUGGUUUGCAUUUUCUUCACUUAGUUAGCUUUCCAGCAAUUAUUCAUUAGAGUUCCUAGCCUUUCCAUCUUUCUCAUACUCUAGUCCAAAAUAGAUUUUACAGGAGACCUGUGUUAAGAUUUAUUGUGGUAAUGUUACGAUUUGACGCUUCUGUUCUAGAAGAGCAUAGAGAGAAUUAUAAUAUGCAUUCUUUUAAGCGAGUCAUUGAUUAUCUGGCAAGUAAGGAAUUAUUUAAAAACUGCCCAUUAUAGCAUUAGAUAAGGGAAACUUGCACCAAAAGACAUCCCCAUGCUUAUAUCAUAAACUCAAAGGUGAAUGCAUUCUAGUUUCAUCAGGUACAAGGCACACAGUCUGUGGUAUGAAGUCAGUGUGGUGGUAUUCAUUUCCGGCUGUGACUUAGAAACACAAAUCAUCAACACAAGGUUCCAAAUUAGCAUUCCGGGUAGAUAGAUACUGAAUUCCAAAACAUCCUACUUCUCCUCUCGCUGUUGACCACUUGACCAAUGAACAAACUCUUCUACGUAGUCUGAAUGUUGAGAGUACACGUACAUUUUUUCCCCGUUGACUGUCUUCGCCACUCACAAGAGGGUGUUGUCUGACCUUUAUGGCAAGAGCUUUGAAAUCUCCCACUCUUUCAACAAUAGCCAUUUUCAUUAGGUAUUUAUUCACUCAACAAAGAAGUAUUUUGGCCUUCCUAUACCAGGUGUUGAAGUGAUUUCUUUGCAGGAGCUCACAAUCUAACAGGGGAAAGAUAUUAAAUUAAAUAUUAAAAUUCACUGAAAAGCACGAGUGCUCUGCUGUUGGAGUAUCAGGGAUUAUGAAGACCUGAAACAGAGAAGUUAGACAAAAAUGACUCUUCUUGAGGAAAUAAGACUUCGAGUUCAGAUUUGAAGGAAUCUAAGAAACAUGUUUUGGUGAGAGUGGAUGAGAGACUUGAGAAAUUAUGGCCAGCCACAUUUUAUGUAUCAAGGGCUACAAGGGACAUUGUACUCACUUUGUAAUUAAAGAUAUUUAUUCUAAUUGUGGUGUCCAAGGAGCCAGCUGGUCAUCAGUGUAUUAAGCCAAGCAGCCAUAUGACCAAAAAGGGAAAUGACAUAGGUCUGGAGGCUGAAAUGAGAAUUUUGGUUCAGGUGACUUACUGAGGACAUGCUCUCAGGGGCAGGGAAGUGAGGGAUGCAGAAUGACACAAGGGAAGAUGAGCUAAGCAGGAGAGUGAGCUCAACCAGAGUGUAGCCUGAAUUGCUGCACAAAUAAAACAUAAAAAGCAAAGCAGCUGCCUUCUUGUAGGCAUCUCAAGUGGUUAUUGCCAUGGGGGUGUGUGUGCGUGUGUGGUGGGAUGGAGUGACAGAGUGAGAUGGGUGGUAUUCCUACAGCUUCCCAGAAAGGUGAUUUCCUUUGGCUGGAAAAUCCUUUCAGAACACAAACAGACCCAAAACAAAACCACCCCAGAAAAGAGAACUGCUAUCAAUUGCAGUCAGUCACCAUUCACAGUAGCUGGUAAAGGAAAUCUGGGUAGGAUACCAACGGCCUCUGCUUCAGCAGUGAUUUCUCUGGACCAGCAGCAGCAUUGCUUGGAGACUUCCAGCAAUCCAAAUUUCCAGAUCCCAGCUGAAAACUACUGAAUCAAUCAAUACAGGUGGUGGUGUCUGGCAAUUGGGAGGAGUUGGGGAGGUGGGGGGGAGUCUAAAGCCUUUCAGUGAUUCUGAUGUAUGCUCACGUUUGAGAAGCACUGCUCUGCCAGAAGCAUUUAAAAUAGGUGGUAGAGGAAUUCCCAUUAUGGUUCAGCGAUUAACAAACCUGACUAGGAUCCCUGAGGAUGCGGGUUUGAUCCCUGUCCUUGCUCAGUGGGUUAAGAAUCCAGCAUUGCUGUGGUGUAGGUCACUGACACAGCUCAGAUCUAGCAUUACUGUGGCAUAGGCCAGUGGCUGCAGCUCUGAUUG
This 3149-nucleotide long non-coding RNA is filed under the name Sus scrofa (pig). Its description in RNAcentral is "lncRNA (ENSSSCG00000061820.1)". Lineage: Eukaryota; Metazoa; Chordata; Mammalia; Artiodactyla; Suidae. The record is from RNAcentral.